UACGGGGGGGGCAAGCGUUGUUCGGAAUUACUGGGCGUAAAGGGCUCGUAGGCGGCCAACUAAGCCGGAUGUGAAAUCCCCAGGCUUAACCUGGGAACUGCAUCCGAUACUGGAUGGCUUGAAUCCGGGAGAGGGAUGCAGAAUUCCAGGUGUAGCGGUGAAAUGCGUAGAUAUCUGGAGGAAUACCGGUGGCGAAGGCGGCAUCCUGGACCGGCAUUGACGCUGAUGAGCGAAAGCUAGGGGAGCAAACGGG
Molecule: ribosomal RNA, 253 nt
Filed under: uncultured bacterium
Lineage: Bacteria
Description: partial 16S ribosomal RNA
Rfam family: Bacterial small subunit ribosomal RNA
Source: RNAcentral